GUGCCAAGUGGGCCAUUUUUGGUAAGCAGAACUGGCGCUGUGGGAUGAACCAAACGCGGAGUUAAAGCGCCCAAAUCUACGCUCAUUGGACACCAUGAAAGGCGUUGGUUGCUUAAGACAGCAGGACGGUGGCCAUGGAAGUCGGAAUCCGCUAAGGAGUGUGUAACAACUCACCUGCCGAAGCAACUAGCCCUGAAAAUGGAUGGCGCUAAAGCGUAGUGCUUAUACUCUGCCGUCAGGGCAAAAAGGCGGGAAUUUAUUCCCGUCACGAAGCUUUGACGAGUAGGAGGGUCGCGUCGGUGAGCGCAGAAGGGUUGGACGUGAGUCUGCCUGGAGCCGCCGAUGGUGCAGAUCUUGGUGGUAGUAGCAAAUACUCUGGAGAGGCCCUGGAGGUCUGAGGUGGAGAAGGGCUUCGUGUGAACAGCCGUUGCACACGAGAGAGUCGAUCCUAAGCCCUAGGCGAAAGCCCAGGUCGAUGGUGUUACUGCUUAAUUGCUCGAGAUGUACACUGUCGUUGCGAAAGGGAAUACGGUACUCAUUCCGUAACCCAGUCUCGGAACCGAUACGCCGGUCCUCGUUACUGGUCCAGGUAACAGGACAUGCCCCAGAGACGCCGUCGGCACCUGUCGGGAGAGUUAUCUUUUCUGUAUAAGCGCGCGUACCCCCUGGAAUCUCUUAAUGAGGAGAUAGGGGGCGGCGUCGCGGAGAGCAUCGCACUUGUGGCGAUGUCGACAGGAUGUUCUCGGACCUUGAAAAUCUGGGUGAGGGCCACGCGAUCUUCCGAACUGGUUCGUACCCAUAUCCGCAGCAGGUCUCCAAGGUAAAGAGCCUCUAG
This 835-nucleotide ribosomal RNA is filed under the name Anaphothrips beijingensis. RNAcentral describes it as "partial large subunit ribosomal RNA". It matches the Rfam family "Eukaryotic large subunit ribosomal RNA", at positions 1119 to 1886 of the family's 3401-position model. Lineage: Eukaryota; Metazoa; Arthropoda; Insecta; Thysanoptera; Thripidae. The record is from RNAcentral.